AUAAGACUUUCUCGUCUCGAGUCAUACUGUCUUCGGAUGCCUCGGGAUGUAUUUUAGUCCCUAUACGCCACGUGCGGGCCGGCCCUCACCUGCAAGUCUGCUGACCCUGAACGACCCUCAUUUUCUGUGCACCGGAAGUGCUUGGCCUUCUUGGCGGCUGCUCCCCGGCAGUGGUUUCCCUCCCGCCUCAGCCUCGGGGCGGUCCAGCUGUCCGUUGACCUGGGUUCUGGCCCACAACACUUUCUGUAAGCAAGAACCCUGGACGUCAUGACUAAGGAAGAGAUCUCGUGUUUAUUCUUGAGCUCUUCCGCGAGGUGAGAGACUCAUUUGAACAAGAGAGGCGGCUGCCAAAGCACACUGAACUUGCCUCGGAUAUUCAGGAGUUCGUUUGGGCUUUCCCCGUCAUUCCUUAUCUGGCCAGCAUUUACCAGAAAUAAAAAUAUGUAUUUCGAUUGUUGAUUCUGCGUAAAAAUAGAUUGUUUAAAUCCAAACCUGAAGCUCUGAAGGAAGAAUGUAUAUUAUUGCCCUGGUGCCAAGUGGUACCUUCUGCUUCGGUCGAGUAGUGAGAGAAGAGAGAUGGGCUAAGUACAUAAAUGCUGCGUUUCUCCCAGUGAAUACCACAGGACCUCAGUGCCGGUUGUUUGAGUGGACUUUGUUCUUCCGAGAAGAGAGAAGCAUGCCUGGGUGGAACCCAUUCGAAGGGAGGACAACCCCAAGUCGUAUGCAGUGAGAGCAUCCAGCUCUUGAGAGAGGUGUAGUUUGCUUCUGCAGGCCCAUACGAGACUUCUCAUCACCCACUUUUUCUUUUUUAUGAGAGUGAAAACCAACUCUAGUCACCUGAAGAAAGAGAAGGCUUUGAUUUCCAUGUGAUGAGAGGUACAGGUGCAUGCAGGAGCUUCAGGGACGCCCUAAGGUAUUCUGGCACCAGCAGGGUUCUCCUCCUGCCCUACUGUCUGGAAGAUUUCACAUUCCGUGCACCUCAUCUUCCUCACCCAACAACGAUGUUUUGUGUCUUGAUCCCAGUUGAAGAGCCUGGCACACAAACAGCCUAGGCUAUUCAUUCCUGGAGCAAUUUUACAUAUGCAAGACGGAAGCCAAGACUGAUGUCUUCAUCCCAGACGUGCUCGUUCACACACAUUCCGGGUGAACGAGUCAUGCUCAGGAGUCAGAGCAGGAAGUGGCUACUGUUGGAUGAAGGAUUCUGCAGGAAAAGAUGAAAGAUGCUUCAUGUCUCUGGGAGUGGAGAAAGAGAAAAGAGGCCAGUCUUUUCUGCAGCUGUCACGGUGAAAAGUUCCAGGUUCGGGGGAACCAGGAAGGGUGUGGUUCCAGAUAGUGAAGGCGUCUGUGGACUGUCUGCCAUUUCCGACACCUGGCGUGAGUUGAGGCAGCCUCCGUACCUUCGUUGCCGUCACGGUCAAGUGGGGCUAACAUUUAUCUUCUUCGAGUUAUGCCCUCUUACGUGCUUGCCUACUCACGUGUAUUUGCAACGUGCCUUAAGUUCCUCAGAUUCCUGCCCGAAGCAAAGUGUGGCAGAGGACAGAGCUUGGAGAGCUUUGCAAAUUUGCAGCUUGGGAACACUUCAAAGCCUGUUCUGGAAGCUGGAAGUCCAGGAUCAAGGUGCCGGCAGAUUCGGUGUCCGGUGAGUAUGUGCUUCCUGGUUCAUAGAUGGUCGUCUUCUUACUGUGUCCUCACAUGGUAGAAGGUAUGAGGGGGCUCUCUGGGGUGUCUUUUAUGGGCACUAAUCCCAUCAUGAGGGUGACACCCUCAUGACCUCAUCACCUCCCGAAGGACCUAACAGCAUCACAUGGGGGUUAGGAUGUCAACAUACAAAUGGAGGGUGGGUGGAGACACAUUUAGUCAGUGACUGUUACAUAUGGUGCUUUCAAAAAAAAGGUUCCUCAUCAUUGCCAUUGUCAUUAUUCUGGCACAAAAUGCCUGUGAGGUAGGGUUGCCUAUGGGUUGUCAAUAUAGACACUGAUAUUACCAACUGGGAAAAUGAGAGAGAGUGUAAAUUGUGUUCCUCCUCCCACCAGGUACAGUUCAAUAGUGUUUCAAGGCUAGGGAAGAAAAAGGAAGGCACAACACUCUGAGAUAAAAAAAUUCUUGCUCCUCCCUUUUGGCGUUUCACAUUGUAAAUAACACAAUGGGAAUAUGUUCAUUAUAAAAAAGUAUGUAUGUCCCAAUGUAAGAAGCUAAAUGCUGAGGGUUAUUGGUAUCUCAAAAUAAUGGAUACAUAGGUAGCUCUCCAAAAAGGGAUGAAAAAAAUAUGUGGUUGAUUAUCUGGAAAAAUGUUGCAUAAAUUCUUUCCUCAACGUGAAAA
Delphinapterus leucas (beluga whale) is the source of this 2320-nucleotide non-coding RNA. Lineage: Eukaryota; Metazoa; Chordata; Mammalia; Artiodactyla; Monodontidae. The record is from RefSeq and is a predicted model, not a curated record.